UCACACCUCAGGCAUGACAUAAGCCAC
This 27-nucleotide non-coding RNA is filed under the name Homo sapiens (human). Lineage: Eukaryota; Metazoa; Chordata; Mammalia; Primates; Hominidae. The record is from RNAcentral.